RNAcentral lists this ribosomal RNA (468 nucleotides) under uncultured bacterium. RNAcentral describes it as "partial 16S ribosomal RNA". It matches the Rfam family "Bacterial small subunit ribosomal RNA", at positions 28 to 507 of the family's 1533-position model. The record is from RNAcentral.
GACGAACGCUGGCGGCGUGCUUAACACAUGCAAGUCGAACGGAAAGGCCCUGCUUUUGUGGGGUGCUCGAGUGGCGAACGGGUGAGUAACACGUGAGUAACCUGCCCUUGACUUUGGGAUAACUUCAGGAAACUGGGGCUACUACCGGAUAGGAGCUCCUGCUGCAUGGUGGGGGUUGGAAAGUUUCGGCGGUUGGGGAUGGAUUCGCGGCUUAUCAGCUUGUUGGUGGGGUAGUUGCUUACCAAGGCUUGGACGGGUAGGCGGCCUGAGAGGGUGACCGGCGACAUUGGGACUGAGAUACGGCCCAGACUGCUACGGGAGGCAGCAGUGGGGAAUAUUGCACAAUGGGCGGAAGCCUGAUGCAGCAACGCCGCGUGCUGGAUGACGGCCUUCGUGUUGUAAACCGCUUUCGCCUGUGACGAAGCGUGAGUGACGGUAAUGUGUAGAGAAGCACCGGCUAAAUACGUG